UACCUUACCAGAAAGCCACGGCUAACUACGUGCCAGCAGCCGCGGUAAUACGUAGGUGGCAAGCGUUGUCCGGAAUUAUUGGGCGUAAAGGGCGUGUAGGCGGUAAAUCAAGUCUGAUGUGAAAUCUUAUGGCUCAACCAUAAACGUGCAUUGGAAACUGAUAAACUAGAGUGUCGGAGAGGAAAGUGGAAUUCCAUGUGUAGCGGUGAAAUGCGUAGAGAUAUGGAGGAACACCAGUGGCGAAGGCGACUUUCUGGACGAUAACUGACGCUGAGGCGCGAAAGCGUGGGGAGCAAACAGGAUUAGAUACCCUGGUAGUCCACGCUGUAAACGAUGAGUGCUAGUGUUGGUCCCGCAGGGGAUCAGUGCUGAAGUUAACGCAAUAAGCACUCCGCCUGGGGAGUACGGUCGCAAGGCUGAAACU
Molecule: ribosomal RNA, 424 nt
Filed under: uncultured Eubacteriales bacterium
Lineage: Bacteria; Bacillati; Bacillota; Clostridia; Eubacteriales
Description: bacterial SSU rRNA
Rfam family: Bacterial small subunit ribosomal RNA
Source: RNAcentral